This 495-nucleotide ribosomal RNA is filed under the name uncultured bacterium. RNAcentral describes it as "bacterial SSU rRNA". It matches the Rfam family "Bacterial small subunit ribosomal RNA", at positions 30 to 515 of the family's 1533-position model. The record is from RNAcentral.
AUUGAACGCUGGCGGCAUGCCUUACACAUGCAAGUCGAACGGCAGCACGGACUUCGGUCUGGUGGCGAGUGGCGAACGGGUGAGUAAUGUAUCGGAACGUACCUUUCAGUGGGGGAUAACGUAGCGAAAGUUACGCUAAUACCGCAUAUUCUGUGAGCAGGAAAGCAGGGGAUCGCAAGACCUUGCGCUGAUUGAGCGGCCGAUAUCAGAUUAGCUAGUUGGUGGGGUAAAGGCCUACCAAGGCGACGAUCUGUAGCGGGUCUGAGAGGAUGAUCCGCCACACUGGAACUGAGACACGGUCCAGACUCCUACGGGAGGCAGCAGUGGGGAAUUUUGGACAAUGGGGGCAACCCUGAUCCAGCCAUGCCGCGUGAGUGAAGAAGGCCUUCGGGUUGUAAAGCUCUUUCGGUCCGGGAAGAAAUACGCACAGGCUAAUAACCCUGUGUGGAUGACGGUACCGGAAUAAGAAGCACCGGCUAACUACGUGCCAGCACG